AUUGAACGCUGGCGGCAUGCCUUACACAUGCAAGCCGAACGGCAGCACGGGUGCUUGCACCUGGUGGCGAGUGGCGAACGGGUGAGUAAUACAUCGGAACGUACCUUAUCGUGGGGGAUAACGCAGCGAAAGCUGUGCUAAUACCGCAUGCGCCCUGAGGGGGAAAGCGGGGGAUCGCAAGACCUCGCGCGAUUAGAGCGGCCGAUGCCUGAUUAGCUUGUUGGUGGGGUAAAAGCCCACCAAGGCGACGAUCAGUAGCUGGUCUGAGAGGACGAUCAGCCACACUGGGACUGAGACACGGCCCAGACUCCUACGGGAGGCAGCAGUGGGGAAUUUUGGACAAUGGGGGCAACCCUGAUCCAGCAAUGCCGCGUGAGUGAAGAAGGCCUUCGGGUUGUAAAGCUCUUUUGUCAGGAAAGAAACACCGGCUCUAACACAGUCCGGGAAUGACGGUACCUGAAGAAUAAGCACCGGCUAACUACGUGCCAGCCGCCGCAGUAA
Molecule: ribosomal RNA, 501 nt
Filed under: uncultured bacterium
Lineage: Bacteria
Description: partial 16S ribosomal RNA
Rfam family: Bacterial small subunit ribosomal RNA
Source: RNAcentral